UAGCGGCAGGCUUAACACAUGCAAGUCGAGGGGCAUCGGGAGUAGCAAUACUGCCGGCGACCGGCGCAAGGGUGCGUAACGCGUGAGCAACAUGCCCGUAUCAGGGGGAUAAUCCAUGGAAACGUGGUCUAAUACCCCAUAGUAAUUAUGUAAGGCAUCUUAUAUAAUUUAAAGCUUUGGUGGAUACGGAUUGGCUCGCGUGACAUUAGCUGGAUGGUAAGGUAACGGCUUACCAUGGCUACGAUGUCUAGGGGUUCUGAGAGGAAGGUCCCCCCACACUGGAACUGAGACACGGUCCAGACUCCUACGGGAGGCAGCAGUGAGGAAUAUUGGACAAUGGAUGGAAAUCUGAUCCAGCCAUGCCGCGUGCAAGGAAGACGGCCCUAUGGGUUGUAAACUGCUUUUGUAUGGGAGCAAUAAGGGCUACGUGUAGUCCGAUGAGAGUACCAUACGAAUAAGCACCGGCUAACUCCGUGCCAGCCGCCGC
Molecule: ribosomal RNA, 487 nt
Filed under: uncultured bacterium
Lineage: Bacteria
Description: bacterial SSU rRNA
Rfam family: Bacterial small subunit ribosomal RNA
Source: RNAcentral